AAAAGAGCAAUACAAAUAAAAUGGACAUCCGGUUAUAAAACCCUAUAUAUAUAUAUAAAAAACAAAACUCAUCUAGCUCUCACAUUGAUGUUUGAUAUUUUCAGGGUUACUGAGGUUACUGACAAUAACCUUGUGCAGCUGGAGACCUUGGAUGGAAAGCCAUUGAAGACCAGGACACCCUAUGCUUCAGUGAAGCCUGAUCCCAGGCUGCCUGCAGCCUGGCCCACCAAGGAGAUUGUGUCCAAUCCAUCUGAGCCAGCAGAUUCAUAGUUGGAGUAGGACCCACUAGAGGGAAAUAUUUCAGACUGUGAUGUUGUCAUCACUAGUGUCCAGCCAGGCCAGGCUUGUCCAGCUUCACUGAGCAAAAGGGUGGAGGACUUCAGGGCCAUGCUCAGCAACCCAAGUACUUGGUUGGAUGACCAUGCUAUGGACCAUGCUCAGGCCCUGCUUAAGGCUCAGUACCCUAACAUCAACGGGCUCUACGCCACCACAACAGUGCUGUCUGUUCCUAUGUUCAAAGGGAAGCACCCUUUCAUCUCACUUUGACUCGAUGUCGUUUUCCACAAAGGUUGAGGAAAGGUGGCAUAAAGGUUAGGUGAUUUAACUAUUCGUAGAGGCCCAAUGUUCCUUAAACCCACUGAAGCUGUCUAAAGCGUUACAUCACGCUGUAGGACAAAUAUCAGUUAAACCACUAAACGAUUGAAGUUUAAUUAUUGCAUGUGUUGAUUACAGACAGCACAACCUUUUGUUUAAAAUGACAACCUUGCACUUCUGGGAUAAAUAAAGUUAUCUGAAUCUGAAUCGUUAUUGAGAAGUUCCUCGACUCAUGCACGCACCAUGAAUGAUUAACUUCGCAGAGGCUUAGAUCCUAAAAUGGUGCGGCACACUUUUAAGAUACUGCAGAUCAGUGUUUGUUGAUUGUGUUAGGUUUGCGAUGUCGGAUCAUUUGGAGGAAGAUGCGAUACACCCAUUCUAACUAUAGUUAAUCAUACAGUUUUGUAGAAUUUCACACGACAAUGUUGAGCGAUUGGCAAGACAGAAUAUUAAGCGAUGGUCCUCCUUCCCAUCAUUUAUCUUUUGCGCACUUGAAACCAAUCUGGCGAUCACAGCUCAGGUGCCAGUCGAUUGGCCUUUCCAAUCUGUAAGCGUCUCCCUCCGUGACCUCCUACUCCACAAUGAACCAAUCACGGACUUGGUUCUUGGCUCAAGUUUAACCAAUCAGGACCAAGGUUUUAUAGCAGAGCGGAAAAACAAAACAAUGAAAGAUGUUGCCGAUGAAUUCUUAGUUUAUUUUGUUUGUUGAAUUUAUUUAUGUUCGUUUGGUCCAGAGAUAUUUAAAUUUAGACUAUUAAUAAGGCUCCUGAAAUUAUUAUUAUUAUUAUUACCAUCCCUGAGUUAAAGGAGCGAAUAUUCAGAUAUUAUUUGAGAUAUCGGAUGAUGUGUUAAUGAUUUAGUAGAGUACCCCAUGCAUCUGAUUUCAACACAGUAAGUUCAACUAGUUCAUUUGAAUUGCAUAACAAUAUUAGGGAUUAACAACCGUUUAUGAAACGAGGGAAAGUGAUAAAGUCUGUUUUGAGGUAAGAACACGAUGCAAUACAACUGGUAAGAGAAAACGUAAACGUUUUACAAUUACAAUUCUACUUUUCUAUUCUAGAUAUUGUACAACUAGUGUAACGUUACCACUAUAUAUUAUCAUGAUAACUAGAUAUUUAUAUGACAACUAACUGCGAGACGCUUGUCUAGCAGUUGGCAGAGAGAUCAUAGAGAAAGCAGAACAUGGAAGUUAUUGAGGUAUGGUAUUAAAGGUUGGGUAUGGAAUUCUCUUUUUUGGCCAUUUUUGCAAAAUUACUUGAAAUCCUUAUCAUAACCCACUUAUGUCCAUGUACUUGGAAUGUGUAGAGUCAGCGUUGAAGGAGAGAGGGUAGGACCAUUUGAGUUGUGUAUAUUCAAAAUCUGCUGGCGUUUCGCAAAUCCCAUACCCAACCUUUAAGCACAUACAGGACGGUGCAUAAUUUCAUAUUGACACCAAAAAUAUAAUAUAAUGUAUAAUUUAUGUAGUGUAAAAACUGAAGGAAGUCUUGUAAAGUGUCCCUAACCAUAGCAAUGCCUUAAAGAGAUUCA
Gadus morhua (Atlantic cod) is the source of this 2121-nucleotide long non-coding RNA. NCBI's taxonomy places the organism in Eukaryota, Metazoa, Chordata, Actinopteri, Gadiformes, Gadidae. The record is from Ensembl.